AAAAUCCGUCGACUUUAGAAAUCGUGAGGGUUCAAGUCCCUC
This 42-nucleotide transfer RNA is filed under the name Camellia nitidissima. Its description in RNAcentral is "partial tRNA-Leu". Lineage: Eukaryota; Viridiplantae; Streptophyta; Magnoliopsida; Ericales; Theaceae. The record is from RNAcentral.